UACGAAGGGGGCUAGCGUUGCUCGGAAUUACUGGGCGUAAAGGGCGCGUAGGCGGAUGUUUAAGUCAGCGGUGAAAGCCCAGGGCUCAACCUUGGAACUGCCAUUGAUACUGGACAUCUUGAGUACGGGAGAGGUGAGUGGAACACCGAGUGUAGAGGUGAAAUUCGUAGAUAUUCGGCAGAACACCAGUGGCGAAGGCGACUCACUGGCCCGUUACUGACGCUGAGGCGCGAAAGCGUGGGGAGCAAACAGG
This 253-nucleotide ribosomal RNA is filed under the name uncultured bacterium. RNAcentral's name for it is "partial 16S ribosomal RNA". It matches the Rfam family "Bacterial small subunit ribosomal RNA", at positions 524 to 776 of the family's 1533-position model. The record is from RNAcentral.